GAUCUGGCUCAGGAUGAACGCUGGCGGCGUGCUUAACACAUGCAAGUCGAACGAAGCACUUUAUUUGAUUUCCUUCGGGACUGAUUAUUUUGUGACUGAGUGGCGGACGGGUGAGUAACGCGUGGGUAACCUGCCUUGUACAGGGGGAUAACAGUUGGAAACGGCUGCUAAUACCGCAUAAGCGCACGGCAUCGCAUGAUGCGGUGUGAAAAACUCCGGUGGUAUGAGAUGGACCCGCG
Molecule: ribosomal RNA, 239 nt
Filed under: uncultured bacterium
Lineage: Bacteria
Description: partial 16S ribosomal RNA
Rfam family: Bacterial small subunit ribosomal RNA
Source: RNAcentral